This 413-nucleotide ribosomal RNA is filed under the name uncultured bacterium. Its description in RNAcentral is "bacterial SSU rRNA". It matches the Rfam family "Bacterial small subunit ribosomal RNA", at positions 958 to 1392 of the family's 1533-position model. The record is from RNAcentral.
CACGCGAAGAACCUUACCAACCCUUGACAUGGGCGUCGCGGAUCGGGAGACCGAUCUUUCAGUUCGGCUGGACGCCACACAGGUGCUGCAUGGCUGUCGUCAGCUCGUGUCGUGAGAUGUUCGGUUAAGUCCGGCAACGAGCGCAACCCACGCCUUUAGUUGCCAUCUUUAAGUAGGGCACUCUAAAGGAACUGCCGAUGAUAAGUCGGAGGAAGGUGUGGAUGACGUCAAGUCCUCAUGGCCCUUACGGGUUGGGCUACACACGUGCUACAAUGGCGGUGACAAUGGGCUAACCCCCAAAAGCCGUCUCAGUUCGGAUCGGGGUCUGCAACUCGACCCCGUGAAGUCGGAAUCGCUAGUAAUCGCGUAACAGCAUGACGCGGUGAAUACGUUCCCGGGCCUUGUACACACCG